Molecule: long non-coding RNA, 2451 nt
Filed under: Heterocephalus glaber (naked mole-rat)
Lineage: Eukaryota; Metazoa; Chordata; Mammalia; Rodentia; Bathyergidae
Description: lncRNA (ENSHGLG00000042192.1)
Source: RNAcentral
GGGGACAGAACCCAGGGUGCCCUUCCACCCAGGUACAUUCCUAGCCCAUUUUUUAUUUGGGGCAGAGUCUUGCUAAAUUGCUAGGCGGAACUAAAAUUUGCAAUCCUCCUGCCUCAGGUGCUGGGAUUGCAGGGCUGCACCACCAGGCCUGGCUCUGGCCAGGAUGAAUUUUAAAGGUCACCGAUUCAGAGAGAGCAGCCUGAAGAGCAGGCGCGCGGUAUGGCGUGUGAGGCCCUGCGUGGGGGCCUCUGGGGAAGCCGGUGAGUCAGCCGCCUUCUCUCUAAUAGCGUUCACCUCCGCGCGAGGAGUAAUAGGAGAGGCCGUCAUUAGCCAAGGUGUGAGUAACAGGGUUCAAACUCAAGAGGGACUCGGUGUGUUCCGCUGGGGAAGGGUGAGCUGGGGCUCUUCCCUGCCUGCGGAGGAGGCGCAGACCGCGGAGUCCAAGCCCAGGGACGGCGAUGAGUCCCUUAGACACCGGCCCAGGACGGAGACCCACAGGAACACGUCUGGGAGACCCUUCACCAGUAAUGGGGUCCUGCCUGCUGCAGGGUCGGGGGUGCAAGGUCGCGUGUCCCUGGCUUAUAGGGACGCUGAUUCUCGGGCUUAAAGUCUCUGUCUUCCCUCCUGGCAGUUCACCUGGGCCACCUUUGCACAGGUUGAGGAAUGUGGCGUGGACACAGAGCGAACAUGAGCCUGCUCUUCUGCACUCCCUUUCGUCAGAGCGGAGGUGGUGCCGGGAGGAGGAGCCAUCUGUGGAGUCCAAGCAGCAAUGUGUGACUAGCAUUUGCAGGCGCCGUGUGCGUGGCCAGAAACGGACACUACGUGGCCCUGCUUGGGCCUCUAUGGUGGCAGGGCCUAGGGCAUGGAGAAAUGAGCCAGAGAAGGGGCCGUGAAAGUCUUGAAAGUAGACUUGACAUUCGUGGAGGAGCUUGGUGUGCUGAGACGCAGGACCACCAGCAGUCAAGGCUCCUGAAAAGGACCUGGAGCUUUUAGAAAAGUGGAAUCAGCAUCAGUCUGAACAAAUGGGCUUGGGGCCCAGCAACCAGGUUGGACAACUCAGGACGACAGAGACUUAGGUCUGUGUGAUCUCAAGGGCCGAGCUCAACCUGGAGUCUGCGGGGGAAGCCUUGAACAUUCCCCCACAUAUUUCUGGCUUCCGUCCAGCCUAGCGUAGAAAGUGGUGGUCAGGAUGUUCUGAACACCAGCCUCUCUCCACCCGAGCCCCAGGCCCUCACUUCUGAAGAUGAGCAUAGGACAUCACUUAGUUGUCCUAGACAAAAAUAACCCAGAGUGCUGCCUGCUCUCUCACCCUGUGAACAGCCAGGGCCCAGGCUAUGACUAAGUCUGCUGGGGGAAUCCAGAGGCCAGGACCCUUGCAAUGCUGGAGUCUAAAGGCUCCUGGGUCCUAAAGCUUCCUCUGUUUCCAAUAAGAUUUGUCUGAGAUAUUUCCCCAAUAAUUAGCUAAGCAAAGAGGAAAAGAGCACAUCAUUUUAUAAAAAUCUUUUUUUGUCUGUUUUUUUUUUACAGUGCUGGGGAUCAAAAUCAGGGCCUUGCAUGUGUCAUGUUUCAGUAGUAAAACACUACUGGACUGCCCCCUUACCCCUUAAGAGAGCUUUCAGGUAUGAAUGAUGGGUCCUUGGGAGGCUGAGGCAGGAGGAUCACAGCCUGGGCAAGUUGGUGGGACCCUACCUCAAAAGCAAAGCAAAACAGGCUGGGAUGUAGCUCAGUGGCAGAGGCUUUCCCUAGCAUAUAUGAGGCCCUGGGUACAAUCUCCACACACAACCCCCCAAGAAUAAAGAGCAUGUUUUUACUAUGCAAUCAAUUCUUGAGAAAUCUGGGGUAGGAAUUCUCCCAUUUUAGAAAUCUCCAGCUUCUUUUCUCCCAGACUCCUCUUUAUUCAUUCCUUCAGCAAAUAUUCCAUCUGUGGGAGACCAGGCCCUGGGUGAAGCGCAUGCACAGUCGAGAAGAGCCCGUUUCUUGUAUAAUAUUAGCCAGACUGACUCCGAGAUUUAACAUAGCAGUCAGGAAAAGAAGGGUACUAAUGAAAUAUUUGCCACACAAUUUCAACAUCCCAGGAAAUAAUGCUGUGGGUUCAAUCAGUCACUCUGGUGGUAGGUGAGGGAGCCCUUUAAAAGCAGGCAUCAGCAGAAGGGAAGGAUUCUUCAAGACUGGUUGUUUUUACAGACACCUCAAUCUGGUACAUUUCCUACGAAAAGAGUAUCCUUUUCUUUCAACAUUUGAGAAGUAUAAGUGAGCAUCAGUUUUAGAGAGGAACAGAAGAACAAAGCUCCCUUUCUGUAUUAACAAUAGAGUAGCUUAAUGUUGUUUUUUAAAGUUUCUACUGACCUGAAAAACACCGAGAGCUACGAAAUUGGAUUCGGAGUUGGAGGGUGAAGGAAUCCCGGAGCUGUGGGUGUGCAGCCACAUCAACAACAGAAACAAAUGACCAAG